UACGUAGGGUGCGAGCGUUGUCCGGAAUUAUUGGGCGUAAAGAGCUCGUAGGCGGCUUGUCACGUCGGAUGUGAAAACCCGGGGCUCAACCCCGGGCCUGCAUUCGAUACGGGCAGGCUAGAGUUCGGCAGGGGAGACUGGAAUUCCUGGUGUAGCGGUGAAAUGCGCAGAUAUCAGGAGGAACACCGGUGGCGAAGGCGGGUCUCUGGGCCGAUACUGACGCUGAGGAGCGAAAGCGUGGGGAGCGAACAGG
RNAcentral lists this ribosomal RNA (253 nucleotides) under uncultured bacterium. RNAcentral describes it as "partial 16S ribosomal RNA". It matches the Rfam family "Bacterial small subunit ribosomal RNA", at positions 524 to 776 of the family's 1533-position model. The record is from RNAcentral.